RNAcentral lists this unclassified non-coding RNA (5852 nucleotides) under Neodiprion pinetum (white pine sawfly). RNAcentral describes it as "down syndrome cell adhesion molecule-like protein Dscam2, transcript variant X9". Lineage: Eukaryota; Metazoa; Arthropoda; Insecta; Hymenoptera; Diprionidae. The record is from RNAcentral.
GCGAAGACGCGCGCGUGACGAUGAGCCCCGUGUGAUCGCGACAAGGUCCGGUUCCGGUCACGUUUCGCAAAACAUUUCCGGUCCGAUAAUACGGCGGUAUUGAGGAAAGACGACGAAACGACGACAAUAAAACAAAAAAACAAAAAUACAAAUAAACAAAGAAACAAAAAAAAAAAAGAAACAACAAGAACGAGAAACAGCAUCAACGACGCUGAACACGCAUAAUAAUAACAAUAAUAUUAAAAACACUCGCUGAGGCGGGGGCCCAAUCUGGAUUCAAAAAAGCUCUCCCACCUACCCCUACUCGCGGUCGAGGGAUGCUCGCCUGCUGCUUAUUAAUUGCCGCAGGGGCGGCGGCGGCGGCGACUUUGGUCGGUGGCUUUGACGCUCAUCUUCGAGGACCGAGUUUCCUCAUCGAGCCCCAGUCAAGAAUUGAAUUCUCAAACUCAAGUGGUGCCUGGCUCGACUGCGCAGCGUCCGGAAGUCCGCUACCAAACAUCGAUUGGGUUACAGCCGACGGACUUCCCGCCAGUGACGUUCCCGGUGUCCGCAGGGUACUCAGGAAUGGCACCCUCGUUCUACUUCCGUUUCCGGCCGCGGCCUACAGGCAGGAUGUACACAGCACCGCCUAUAGGUGUGUCGCCAGCAACACCGUUGGCAGAGUCUUGACCCGAGACGUUCAAGUCAGAGCCGUCGUCGCCCAGGCCUACAAGGUAGACGUCGAAGUAAUGGGCGGUGCUUCCAGAGGAUGUACAGCUGUUCUACGCUGCGUUAUCCCGAGCUUUGUUAAGGACUUGGUUCGCGUUGUCUCCUGGCUCCAGGAACCCUCCUUCUAUAUCUACCCUUCGCUCCAAGGAGAUGGGAAAUUCCACUUACUACCGACCGGUGAACUCUUGGUUCACGGCCUCGAAUUCAGCGAUCAAUUUCUUCGCUACAGAUGCCGGACGAUGCAUCGACUCACUCGACAAGUCGUCGUCAGCUCCGUGGCCAACGUACGAAUGGCGGAUCACAGAGGUGUGGUGCCCCCGGUGAUUUUGGAACAUUCGGGGAUCGUCCACGUGGCGCAGGACGAGUCUGCCUCUUUAGUUUGCGUGGCGCAGGCCUGCCCAUCCCCUGAAUACAGAUGGUUUUCCCAAACCGGAGGAGAGCCGAUGCUCGUGCUUCCCGGUCCUCGGACUCGGAUUUUGGGUCCGGUUUUGGCGAUCGAAGCUGUAACUGCAGAAGACAGCGGAGUGUACAGAUGUUCGGCAGCGAAUCCCGGAGGCGAGGCGAGCGCGGAACUUAGACUGACUGUGACGGCUCCGCUACACGUCGAAGUCACUCCUCCGCUGCUGAGCGUUCACCUAGGUGGAAACGCCGAGUUUCGGUGCGUCGUUGGCACUCAUUCCCUGGGUGGUCAGCACUUUGUUACGUGGUACAAAGACGGCAGACAACUUCCAGGCACUGGCAGACUGUCCGAAGUGCUUCAGCUCAACGGUAUCGGUCGGGAAGACAGAGGGAUGUACCAAUGUGUCGUCAGGAGGUCGGAAGGCGACACCGCUCAGGCCACUGCGGAGCUUCAAUUGGGCGACGCUCCGCCGGUUCUGCUGUACUCAUUUAUAGAGCAGACGCUGCAGCCUGGACCAGCUGUAUCACUGAAAUGUUCGGCAGCAGGAAAUCCGACACCUCAAGUAGCCUGGGCUUUGGAUGGAUUUCCACUACCAACAAACGGAAGGUCCGUAAUUGGGCAGUACGUCACGGUCCACGGAGACGUGAUAUCCCAUGUAAACAUAAGUCACGUGAUGGUUGAAGACGGUGGUGAAUAUUCGUGCACAGCCGAGAACCGGGCGGGUAAAACGACGCACGCAGCUCGACUCAAUGUUUACGGCCUCCCCUACAUUCGCAUGAUCCCGAAGGUAACCGCGGUCGCUGGUGAAAGUUUUCGGCUCAAGUGUCCCGUCGCUGGAUAUCCGAUCGAGGAAAUCAAGUGGGAACGUGGAGGAAGAGAGCUUCCCGAUGAUCUAAGACAGAAGGUACUUCUCGAUGGGACCCUUAUCGUUUCCACCGUCCAGAAGCAGGGCGACUCUGGUGUCUACACUUGCUCGGCCAGGAACAAACAGGGACACAGUGCACGGAGGUCCGGAGAAGUCGCAGUCAUCGUACCCCCUAUAAUUGAGCCAUUUACCUUCCAAGAGGGACUCUCUGAGGGGAUGCGCACGCGGACGGUGUGCGGGGUCGCGGCGGGAGAUCCUCCCCUGACCAUAUCCUGGCUGAAGGACGGGCAAAAUCCCUUCCAGCUUCCCCCAAAGCUCGCAUCCGCCGCCAAUGUUUCCCAGCUCGAUCCCUAUUCCAGUCUCUUAAGUAUCUCGAGUCUUUCGGCCGAGCAUUCCGGCGACUAUACCUGCGUCGCCGCGAACCCCGCCGCCGAGGUCAGGUACACGGCCAAGCUACAGGUAAAAGUUCCUCCUCGAUGGAUAGUCGAGCCGACCGACAUCAGCGUCGAGCGAAACAAGCACGUCGCCCUUCACUGUCAGGCCCAAGGCGUCCCGACGCCCACCAUCGUCUGGAAGAAGGCCACGGGAAGUAAAUCCGGGGAGUACGAAGAGCUGCGUGAGAGAAUGUACACAAAACUUUUAACGAACGGUACGUUAUUGCUCCAGCAUGUAAAGGAAGACCGAGAGGGUUUUUAUCUCUGUCAAGCAAGCAACGGUAUUGGUAGCGGAAUCGGGAAGGUGGUUCAGCUCAAGGUCAACUCCUCUCCAUAUUUUGCGGCUCCUUCUCGUCUGGUAACGAUAAAGAAGGGCGAUACCGCGACGCUACACUGCGAAGUCCAUGGCGAUAAACCGGUCACUGUCACUUGGUUGAAGGGUGGAAAGGUCGAGCUCAAUCCUUCGACGAAUUAUCGCGUCACUGUAAAGCAAGAGAUAACGCCGGACGGCGUCGUGGCUCAGCUUCAGAUCGCUUCAGCCGAAGCUUCGGACAAUGGAGCUUACUUUUGUCAAGCCAGCAAUCUUUUCGGACGCGAUCAGCAGCUGGUGCAGCUUCUGAUUCAAGAACCUCCUCAAGCACCCAACGCCCUCGAAACUGCAAUGGUCGCCAGCAGGAGCAUUAAUGUCAAAUGGCAGCACAAGGCUCAGGACACUGGUGAAGUCACGAAGUACAUACUUCAGUACAAAGAAGGAGAAGGAGGAGUUUGGCAGCAGCAGGAACUGUCCGGACCUCCGUUGCCCUACGCAGCCCUUAUUGACGAUCUGAAGCCAGCGACUCGCUACUACAUUCGCGUUAUCGCCGAAGGACCCGCAGGGCGAUCUGCUCCGUCCCCAGAUCUGGUUGUGAGAACGGAACCCCAGAGGCCAGCGGGUCCUCCGAUCAAUCUGGCCGCCAGGCCCGUAUCUGCUACCGAAAUCCUCGUCACCUGGGGACCACCGAUACCGGAACUCAGGCACGGAGAUAUACAGAGCUUCAAUAUUGGCUACAGAGAAACCAGCUCGGGUAACCCGGCCUACAACUUCACCCCGGUUUCCGGCGAUGGUGAGGAAGGAGGGGGUGAACUUCAUCUCACUGGAUUGAGGGCAUACACACGUUACACAUUGGUAGCCCAGGCCGUCAACCAGGUUGGCUCAGGUCCGCUGUCAGAGCCACUAACCACCCAGACGUUGGAAGACGUGCCCAGCAUGCCGCCGGAAGACGUUCGCUGCGCUGCCCUCUCAUCCCAGUCGUUACAAGUCUCAUGGCAGCCGCCCCCCAGUUCUCAUUCCAAUGGAAUCGUUCAGGGGUAUAAAUUGUACUACGAGCCAGUCAUGGAGGAGACUUGGCGAGGAGUUGACGAGAUGGAGGUUCGAAAAACAAGCGCUUUAACAACGGUUCUGACCAAUUUAAGACGCUACGCAAAUUACAGCAUGCACGUACUCGCCUACACGAGGAUAGGCGACGGUGUUGCGUCCCCGAUGACUUAUUGUCACACCGAAGAAGAUGCCCCUGGGAGUCCCGCGGACAUAAAAGUGGUUGUAAGCUCGCCGCAAGCUCUUUUCAUAUCGUGGUUACCGCCCUUGGAGCCAAACGGAGUGAUCACUAAGUACAAUUUAUACACCAGGGUGGUGAACGGUCGUGAGGAACUCAACCAUGGUAAGAAACCGCUCUCUGCCGCGGACACUUUUUUCGAGGCAACGGACCUCGAGCAGCACGUCGAAUACCAGUUUUGGGUGACGGCGAGCACCAGAGUGGGCGAGGGUCAGAGUUCACGAGUAGCUGCUCAAGUGCCUUCGAACCGAGUGCCUGCCCGCAUCACGUCAUUUGGCGGCCACGUCGUGAAGCCCUGGAGAGGAUCGGCCACUCUGGACUGCAACGCGGUUGGCGACCCUAGACGAGAGUGGCUCAAGGGUGUCGAGCAGAUUUACCCCGGUGCUAAUCACAACAUUCAGAUACUUCAGACCGGCGAAUUGGUCCUGUCAAGCUUACAGACUCAAGAAAGUGGCAACUACACUUGUCAAGUCGAAAACGCCCAGGGUAGCGAUCGUCUACAGUACAUACUCACCGUCCAAGUUCCACCCAGCACGCCGGUACUCUACGUGACGAGCUCAACGUCUAGCAGCAUACUGCUUCACUGGAAACCAGGAAACACAGGCGGAGCUCCAUUGACCGGAUACACCCUUCACUAUCGUAGAACUCACGGGAAUCUCGACGAGCUCCAACUCUCCCGUCGAGCCACCAGCUACGAGCUCAAAGGUCUACUGUGUGGAAACGCGUACCAUCUUUAUCUGACAUCUCACAACAAACUGGGCAGCAGCCCGGCCUCGCCUACGCUUUCGGUUCGUACUCAGGGUCAAGCACCGGGUAUUCCAAGAGCAGACGCUUUUCUGGCACCCAAUUCAACCACCCUGGCUCUCCGUCUUCACGUCUGGCCCGACAACGGCUGUCCGAUUUCUUACUUCGUUAUUCAGUACAGGCCGAUCAGCGAGUUUCAUUGGACGUUGGUCUCGAACAGCGUUAAGAUGAAUCGGAGAUUCGUCAUACCUAAUCUCUCGCCUAGUUCGGUCUACCAGCUAAAGGUCGAGGCCUAUAACGUCGCUGGCAGCAGUCAGGCCGAGUUCACUUUCGUCACUCUCACUAAAGACGGGGAACCACCACCGCCAGAGCUCUCGAAACGAGGCAUUAUCCCGAUCCCCUUUUAUGCCGACCUUAAAGUCAUGCUACCGCUGAUCGUCGCUACUGUUGCUCUUCUUGCAGCCGCUGCAACAAUCGCUUUUUGCUGGAGAAACAGAUACUUGGGGGACGGAGUCCAGAGGCCCAUGAAGGAGACUCAGGAGAAUCAGCAGAACGCGGAGGCGCAACGCGAACGUUACUACGCAACAAUUCACAAAGUCGCCCUACAGCAAGCGGCGAACACGGCAGGAGGACCUGACAAGAUCCCAGACAGCGGAGGACAUCUCGCCGUACGCUACGUUCCAGCUUUCGGAAGGUGGCGGGGCAAGCCUGGGAGGCCUGGGCGGUGCCGCCGAAGCAUCAGCGGCCGGACUUCACCCCAACAACACCCUACUUCACAGCUUCAUGUACCACGAACACGCAAUGACAGAGGGAUGCGCCAGUCCACCGCCUGCAACGUAUCAGUACUUGAAGAGUAUGAAGAGUGUAUCGUCGAGGAGACGCCAACAGAGGAAGCAGCAAGCGCCGGGCGACGUGGAGAGCGACGAAAGCGAGUCUGACCCAGACCAGCUGACCAGCUCCAGAACCGAGUCGUCGAAUCAGCUGGAUGCCGGCAAGCUCAAGCACAUUCGGGCUGUUUCAGACUUCAUCUACCACGGAACGUCGAGCACCUCGUCGGAUAUUUCGCCAAUGUCCGAACAGAAGUCGCUUCCUCGAAGAGGAAGAUCUAG